GUGUAUUAUAAUCCUUAAUCUAUCUUAACUCAUUAAAAUGCAGUGUUCAGUUCUGCUGGCCAAAUUUUAUUGUCUCGUUGCAUUUUUAGUGAUAUGAGAGAAAUUUCAUGUGUAAUUGAAUAUUUAAAUGUCAGACACUGACGAGAAUCAUUGCAAAGUCCUGAAAUUACUGCCACAUAUAGGUAUAUAAUAUACUUAAGAAAAAAAGUUAGAUAAGAUGCAAAUCUAUAUUUGUCAGCAGAAUCGUCCUCUGUAACACACUGUGCCUCAGUUCUCUCUUUUCUUCUACCUCUUCUUCUUCUUGGAAAGUAACCAUUUUGUCCGACAUCUGACACACUGCCCUGGGUUAUUGAGCCAGACGUGGAAAUCCAAAGCGGAGAUGCUCUCCUUAAUGCCUGACACCUGGUGCAGAUUUGGAAGGGAUUGCACUACAGGUAUCAAGCCUCUGUUAGCUGGCCCCUGUGUUGGGAUUAAGUUCAGAAGGUGUUGAAAAAGGAUACCUAUCAUCCCUUUGAUAAAUAUGAUUCUGAUUUGUUCAGGGUAUGCUUUACAAGUGGACGCUACUCUGGAGUGUUGCAGCUCACCUUACCGCUUGCAGUCACAUCUGCAGACUGUGCUGGAGCAGAAUGGCUAGCGAACAUAAACACAGCAAGGACAUCAAAGGCCGGCAGGCUGCGUCCAGUUCUGUCACUGGUCCUUAGUGCUCCAGCAGCCUGGUCAAAAAGACAUCCUGGCAGGGUCCCAGGGUGGAUGCAUCGCCCACGCACGCUGCUCUUGCCAGAUCCCAGAAGUCUUUGUGGUGAACCACUGACCGUGCUGCUCCCUAUUUUCUUCCAACCCAGCAAAUAAUGUGUCAGAAAAAGAUUAUUGAUAGCCCAUAAAAGAAGAGGCAGAAUGUUGUUGCCACUCUGCUCCAACUUUAAGGAACAAUACAAGUGCUAAACCAUCAGUUUCAAUGGUGCACUGCUCCUGAAAGAGCACAGCAUUUAUUUUUCACAUUGUUGUUCAGUUUGAAUAAAAGGUGCUACAACUGGAACAUGAACAGACAACAAUUACUUCUAUUUUUUUUAAAUGCUGCUUCAUUUUCCUUUACAUUUGAAACCUUGUAGUGAAGUUGGCAACUUUGUACUGUGUCUAUUCAAAAGAAAAAUGAGAUCCCUCAAAAGAAACAUUGAAAUUUUCUCCAUGCUCUGUUGAGUCAUUCGCAUUUUUUGCCAACUUUACCAGACACUGGCGAAGCUGUUGCUCAUCUGGCCUAAAUGUGGCCUGAGUGGGUGAUUCUCAGACAGAUGAGGG
Long non-coding RNA from Astatotilapia calliptera (eastern happy), 1296 nucleotides. The record is from Ensembl. NCBI's taxonomy places the organism in Eukaryota, Metazoa, Chordata, Actinopteri, Cichliformes, Cichlidae.